UAAUACGGAAGGGGCAAGCGUUGUUCGGAAUCAUUGGGCGUAAAGGGCGCGUAGGUGGUUCUGUAUGUCUAUCGUGAAAGCGUACGGCUCAACCGUAUUUUGUCGGUAGAAACUGCAGGACUUGAGGCUGGGAGGGGCUGGUGGAAUUCCCUGUGUAGCGGUGAAAUGCGUAGAGAUGGGGGAGAACACUCGUGGCGAAGGCGGCCAGCUAGACCAGUUCUGACACUGAGGCGCGACAGCGUGGGGAGCAAACAGGAUU
This 259-nucleotide ribosomal RNA is filed under the name uncultured bacterium. RNAcentral describes it as "partial 16S ribosomal RNA". It matches the Rfam family "Bacterial small subunit ribosomal RNA", at positions 521 to 779 of the family's 1533-position model. The record is from RNAcentral.